Molecule: non-coding RNA, 1471 nt
Organism: Meleagris gallopavo (turkey)
Lineage: Eukaryota; Metazoa; Chordata; Aves; Galliformes; Phasianidae
Source: RefSeq, a predicted model, not a curated record
UGUCUGCAUUUCAAGCACAGUAAGCUCAUUUGAAGUUUCUCUUUGAACAGCAGCACUCCACUUGGGCUGUAAGCAGUCACUUUCUGAUACACGCCCAGAAGCAGAAUUUUGGUCUUGGAAAGACAGAGCUGGUUCUGUAGGCACGUUCUAUUGUAAUGCUGCUGCACUUCAGCCACCCCCAGCUGUCCUUCGAGCUUCCCCAAGGCUCUUCUCUGCUGCACUGCCCACAAAUCACUGUCACCUGAUAGUCUUGAAGCUGGAGACCAUCUGUGACCAUAGUGACUGCUGAUUUAUGGAAGCACACCCAUUUUGUUGUUAUUCAUGCCAUCUCUUUCCGCACAUUUUUCCCUUACUCCCUGAAUGUCUUGUCUUGGGAACAUGGAGUGCGAGGAGAAUGGGGUGGGAACUGCCUAAAGCAAUGAAUAUGAGGUGCAAAAUAGAUGAAGUAGGGCUUUGUGAAAAAUAUAUUGAGAAAUAAUAGUAUGUUUGGAGUAGAUACUUGUCAAAACAAGAUUGUAUCAAAUAUAAUUAUAGAGGAGAACAUAUCUACCUAGCUAUGUAGGCCAGAAUUGCUGAUCAAGCAAAAGACUGGAAGGACCAUGGAAGCCUCUUGUUACCAUCAAAGCUUGACAAGCCUCCAUCUGACUGAGGGUAGCCUUGUGGCUUUGAUGUAUCUUCUUGUCUUUCAUAGCUCUCAAGGUGCAAUUGGCUCCCUGGGCCAAGCAGAGUUUUGAUGUUUUUGGGACAUGUGGCUCAACCCCCAGCACAGUGGCAGAGAACAGGGCCUAAGUGUGACAGAUUUUCUUGGUAGACCUGUCCUGUGCCUCCUCUGACUAGGCGAAUUCUCAUGGAGCAAGUUGGAAAACCUUUAUGGCUACCAUGCCUCUCUGGAAAGAGGCCAAGCAUUUACCCUUUUAUAAGCUAUGUAAAGGCAAGCUAGGAAUAUAUGUAGUAGUUCAAAUGUUUUUAAGAAACAUGCUAUAUUCAACAACAGGUGCCCAAUCCUGCCAUUGCUGAAGCAAUAGUAGUGGGGUGACAUCGUCAGGACAGAACUGCCAAGCUGUUAAGCAAGGAUUAUUUACUUUUCAUAGCCAUAUAUGACACGUUGCCUCUGUCCUUCCUUUCUAUGUUUUUACAUACCAUAACAACAAUUUGAGAUGACUUUGGAGGAAACUGGCUUAUAUAACCACUGAUCUGCAUUGCAGAAUCAACCUAGUCUUUUUGAUUUAUUUCCCAAAGCUCUCCUGCAUGGUUUCUGUCUUGAUUUUCUUGUCAACAUGAUUUAGUGCAUGAUUUAGUCUCUGGGGAUGUCUUGUGCGUUAUGUGAAACUGGUGUUACUGUUGUCCUAGCAGACUUGAGCAAAGGGCUGCUUUUUUGUGAAACUGCUUUAUGUUACAUAUGCUAAUAAUGUCAAACUUCUGAAGGAAAGUCUCCUGAAGCAAACCAAAGCUGCCUUUGCAAAGCAAUCUU